RNAcentral lists this long non-coding RNA (855 nucleotides) under Homo sapiens (human). RNAcentral describes it as "HSALNT0339183". The record is from RNAcentral. Lineage: Eukaryota; Metazoa; Chordata; Mammalia; Primates; Hominidae.
CACCCGGAACUCACGCUGGCCCGCGAGCGCCGCGCGCAGCCCUGGUUCCCGCCCGCGGCUCUCUCUCCACACAUCCCCGCAAGCUGAGGGAGCCAGCUCCGGCCUUGGCCAGCCCAGAAAAGGGCUCCCACAGUGCAGGGGCGGGCUGAAGGGCUCCUCAAGUGCCGCCAAAGUGGGAGCCCAGGCAGAGGAGGCGCCGAGAGCGAGCGAGGGCUGUGAGGACUGCCAGCACGCUGUCACCUCUCAGUCAGAGCCCACAGAUAAUAGCAACACACUAAGGUCCUCAAGGUACAUCGUUGGGAUCAAGCAACUUUGAUCCCAAGGAGAAGAAUAAAAACAAGAGGGACGACUGGGCCAAGGUGCCAUGUGAAGUGACCUGUGAGGAUCAACCCAGUGAAGAUGCUUGAGGAAGACAUGCUAGAGCAAAAACUACAACUCUGGUCCUCUUGGAUAUUUUAGAUAAGGACUUUACCCACAUAAAGAAGGUGUUGCCCUGGGGACUGGCUGAGAGAAAUUACAGACUGUUACUCACUUCAAAAGAAACGGACUGCUACAGUGGUACUUACGUCACCAGAAAGAAACACUUCCACAAAGAAUUUGAUUUGAUGGCAUCAUGUGGACAUAGAACUCUCAUAGUAAUGACCCAACCUGUGUUUCCAGUCAUCCUGAUGAACUCUCAACAAAAUCAGAUUGUUAUACUGUUGUUCUCACUUUACACCGAUAUUUUCUCUUGCUCCUAAAAAAAGUAUCUGGUAUUAAAUAGAAUUCUGUAUCUUAAAAAACUUGCCAUUGAGAAAAAUGAGAAGUAACUGUACAUUUUAAUACUGAAGGUUUUAAUAAAAAAAGCAGUGUGAA